Molecule: long non-coding RNA, 972 nt
Filed under: Homo sapiens (human)
Lineage: Eukaryota; Metazoa; Chordata; Mammalia; Primates; Hominidae
Description: PREDICTED lncRNA (TCONS_00132723)
Source: RNAcentral
AAUCCCCGCAGGCGCUGGGUCUGCAGAUGGCGUCCAGGUACACAGUGGCGAGUGUGAUUCCGCAGUCUUGGGCUGUUUGGCCAAGCGCCCGCCGGACAUGGUACGCCGAAGGGUCAUCGGCGUGGAGUCCUCGCUUUCAGCGUCCGCGGCUGGGAAAUCGGCCAUCGCUACGGCGGGAACUGGGACUCGGGCUGCGUCCCGGCCCUUCCACAUCGGUCCACCGCACUCGUGGGCGCCCGCAUUGGUGCUGACAUAAUUUCCUGACCUCUGACCCGUAUUGUCUCGCGAUUAAAGAGCUGCGCCUGGAUCCCUCAGCAGUGAGGAGACCUGAAGACCAGAGGAAACACAGCAAGGGCUCACCAGAGAAGACAGGGCAAGGUGAGGGGGAUCUCCUAGCAGAGGAAACAACAUGCGCCAAUCAAGCAAAGAUAUUUUUGUGCAUUCAAGGAACACAGAGAGGAAAGACAGUGGCAGAUGGAGACGUAUAAAGCAGGGAUCCUGUUAUGAAAAGCCCUAAAAAAUAGGGUAUAGAGUUUGGGCCAUAUUUCAGAGGUAAUAAGAAAGCAUUCUGCAUUUUUAAAGUAAGGUUUAAAAAUGUUUCUAAUUAGAGAUACAGCAAAGUUGGUGUGAGAGGAUAAAGACUGAUAUACAUAAUCUGAGGAGUUCAUGAAAAUUCCAUGUAAAGCCUGUAGUAUGAAUUGGUCCUAGGAGACAGACAGCUUCAGGGGCAUAGAGAACUUUAAGCACUUUUCCAAGAAGAGUGAAGGGCUGGAGAAUAAAUUGUGAACUAAAAUAUAUUUUGUGUUUGAGAACAUGAAGUACUUGAGAGUGAUUAUUACACGGUUUUAAGAAAAAACUAGUUCUUUUAAAUAAAACUUUUUUUUAGCUGAGCACAGUGGCUCACGCCUGUAAUCCCAGCACUUUGGGAGGCCGAGGCAGGCGGAUCACCUGAGGUCGGGAGUUCGAGAUCAG